RNAcentral lists this ribosomal RNA (443 nucleotides) under uncultured bacterium. RNAcentral describes it as "partial 16S ribosomal RNA". It matches the Rfam family "Bacterial small subunit ribosomal RNA", at positions 338 to 795 of the family's 1533-position model. The record is from RNAcentral.
CCUACGGGCGGCAGCAGUGGGGAAUAUUGGGCAAUGGGCGCAAGCCUGACCCAGCAACGCCGCGUGAAGGAAGAAGGAAUUCGGGUUGUAAACUUCUUUUCUCAGGGACGAAGCAAGUGACGGUACCUGAGGAAUAAGCCACGGCUAACUACUUGCCAGCAGCCGCGGUAAUACGUAGGUGGCAAGAGUUAUCCGGAUUUACUGGGUGGAAAGGGCGUGUAGGCGGGGACGCAAGUCAGAUGUGAAAACCACGGGCUCAACCUUUGGCCUGCAUUUGAAAAUGUGUUUCUUGAGUACUGGAGAGGCAGACGGAAGUCCUAGUGUAGCGGUGAAAUGCGUAGAUAUUAGGAGGAACACCAGUGGCGAAGGCGGUCUGCUGGACAGCAACUGACGCUGAGGCGCGAAAGCGUGGGGAGCAAACAGGAUUAGAUACCCCUGUAGUC